CAACAUAAGAGUUGUUUGACACCCAGUCUCCUCCUCCUCUCACUGCGCGGGAGCCUUCUGCGCAGGGAGGGCGUAGGUAGCGGAGGACCUGUCCCCUCCUCACUGAGUUCCAGUGAAGAGUCCGGGAGCCCUCUCUCCGAUUUCCCCAUCUGCCCACUUUUGUUCCUGGUGUUGCGCUUAAAUGCUUCCCCCUCCACUGAGCUGCUUCUCCCCCUGCUGCUGGGUCCUUCUCCAGCAUCAUCUAGGAGCCUCCCCUUCGCCUCCCGCUCCGAUGUCAGUUCCCUGACAU
Non-coding RNA from Podarcis lilfordi (Lilford's wall lizard), 289 nucleotides. The record is from the annotation of a GenBank genome assembly. Lineage: Eukaryota; Metazoa; Chordata; Lepidosauria; Squamata; Lacertidae.